GUCUUUUUGGUUAUUUAAUAUAAAGUCUGACCUGCCCACUGAAUUUAUUUUGAAGGGCCGCAGUAUUUUGACUGUGCAAAGGUAGCAUAAUCAUUAGUCUUUUAAUUGAAGGCUGGUAUGAAUGGUUGGAUGAGGUACAAGCUGUGUCAUAAAAAUUAAUUUUUGAAUUUACCUUUUUAGUCAAAAGGCUAAAAUGUUGUUAAAAGACGAGAAGACCCUAUAGAGCUUUAUAUAAUUUAUAUUUAAAUUAUUAAGAUUUUUUAAAUUUAAUUAUUUUAUUAUAUUUUGUUGGGGUGACAAUAAAAUUUAUUGAACUUUUAUUUUUAUUAAUCAUUUAUUUAUGUUUAUAUGAUCCAGUUUUAUUGAUUAUAAAUUUAAGUUACCUUAGGGAUAACAGCGUAAUUUUUUUUGAGAGUUCUUAUCGACAAAAAAGAUUGCGACCUCGAUGUUGGAUUAAGAGUAAUUUUGGGUGUAGAAGUUCAAAGUUUAAGUCUGUUCGACUUUUAAAUUCUUACAU
Molecule: ribosomal RNA, 517 nt
Filed under: Simulium eximium
Lineage: Eukaryota; Metazoa; Arthropoda; Insecta; Diptera; Simuliidae
Description: partial 16S ribosomal RNA
Rfam family: Bacterial large subunit ribosomal RNA
Source: RNAcentral